Molecule: ribosomal RNA, 425 nt
Filed under: uncultured bacterium
Lineage: Bacteria
Description: partial 16S ribosomal RNA
Rfam family: Bacterial small subunit ribosomal RNA
Source: RNAcentral
GUGGGGAAUCUUGCGCAAUGGGCGAAAGCCUGACGCAGCCAUGCCGCGUGAAUGAUGAAGGUCUUAGGAUUGUAAAAUUCUUUCACCGGGGACGAUAAUGACGGUACCCGGAGAAGAAGCUCCGGCUAACUUCGUGCCAGCAGCCGCGGUAAUACGAAGGGGGCUAGCGUUGCUCGGAAUUACUGGGCGUAAAGGGCGCGUAGGCGGACAGCUUAGUCAGAGGUGAAAGCCCAGGGCUCAACCUUGGAAUUGCCUUUGAUACUGGCUGUCUUGAGUUUGGGAGAGGUGAGUGGAACUCCGAGUGUAGAGGUGAAAUUCGUAGAUAUUCGGAAGAACCCCAGUGGCGAAGGCGACUCACUGGCCCAAUACUGACGCUGAGGCGCGAAAGCGUGGGGAGCAAACAGGAUUAGAUACCCGUGUAGUCC